RNAcentral lists this ribosomal RNA (484 nucleotides) under uncultured bacterium. RNAcentral describes it as "partial 16S ribosomal RNA". It matches the Rfam family "Bacterial small subunit ribosomal RNA", at positions 28 to 523 of the family's 1533-position model. The record is from RNAcentral.
GACGAACGCUGGCGGCGUGCUUAGCACAUGCAAGUCGAACGAUGAACCCGGAGCUUGCUCCGGUGGAUUAGUGGCGAACGGGUGAGUAACACGUGAGUAACCUGCCCUUGACUCUGGGAUAACUGCGGGAAACUGUAGCUAAUACCGGAUACGACCCUCGGCGGCAUCGCCAGGGGGUGGUAAGAAUUUCGGUCAAGGAUGGACUCGCGGCCUAUCAGCGAGUUGGUGGGGUAACGGACUACCAAGGCGGCGACGGGCAGCCGGCUUGAGAGGGUGACCGGCCACACUGGGACUGAGACACGGCCCAGACUCCUACGGAAGGGAGCAGUGGGGAAUAUUGCACAAUGGGCGCAAGCCUGAUGCAGCAACGCCGCGUGAGGGAUGACGGCAUUCGGGUUGUAAACCUCUUUUAGUAGGGAAGAAGCGAAAGUGACGGUACCUGCAGAGAAAGCACCGGCUAACUACGUGCCAGCCGCCGCCGUAA